This 403-nucleotide ribosomal RNA is filed under the name uncultured bacterium. Its description in RNAcentral is "bacterial SSU rRNA". It matches the Rfam family "Bacterial small subunit ribosomal RNA", at positions 356 to 774 of the family's 1533-position model. The record is from RNAcentral.
GGGGAAUAUUGCGCAAUGGGGGAAACCCUGACGCAGCAAUACCGCGUGAGUGAAGAAGGUUUUCGGAUCGUAAAGCUCUGUUAUUGGGGAAGAAAAAAAGACGGUACCCAAGAAGAAAGUCCCGGCUAACUACGUGCCAGCAGCCGCGGUAAUACGUAGGGGACAAGCGUUGUCCGGAUUUACUGGGCGUAAAGGGCACGCAGGCGGUAUUUUAAGUUGGAUGUGAAAGCCCCGGGCUCAACCUGGGAACUGCAUCCAAAACUGGCGAGCUAGAGUAUGGCAGAGGGUGGUUGAAUUUCCUGUGUAGCGGUGAAAUGCGUAGAUAUAGGAAGGAACACCAGUGGCGAAGGCGACCACCUGGGCUAAUACUGACACUGAGGUGCGAAAGCGUGGGGAGCAAACA